AUGCUUUCACAACUUGACUUCAAAAUAUUUGGUUUGGAGACCAUCAAAGAUCAAUAUGUGCAUGAUGCUGAUUUUAAAGAUGUAAUGCAGAAUUGUAAAGAAGGAAGAAUGUGGAACAAGUUUGUUGUUAACGAUGGAUUUGUGUUUCGUGCUAACAAGCUAUGCAUUCCAGCUAGCUCCGUUCGUCUUUUGUUGUUGCAGGAGGCGCAUGGAGGAGGAUUAAUGGGACACUUUGGCGUGAAGAAGACGGAGGACGUACUUGCUACACAUUUCUUUUGGCCAAAGAUGAGACGGGAUGUUGAGCGGGCUGUUUUGAAGAAUAAUAAGAAAAUGUGGGAGGAAUGCUUGCCUCAUAUUGAAUUUGCUUAUAAUCGUUCAUUGCAUUCUACUACUAAGAUGUGCCCUUUUGAAGUUGUGUAUGAUUUCCUACCUCGUGCACCUAUUGAUUUGUUGCCUCUUCCAUCUUCGGAGAAGGUUAAUUUUGAUGCUAAACAACGUGCUGAAUUGAUUUUAAAAAUGCAUGAGUUAACUAAGGAAAACAUUGAGCGUAUGAAUGCUAAAUAUAAACUUGCUGGAGAUAAGGGUAGAAAACAUGUUGUGUUUGCACCUGGAGAUCUUGUUUGGUUACAUUUGCGUAAGGAUAGAUUUCCUGAUUUGCGCAAAUCAAAGUUAAUGCCACGUGCUGAUGGUCCCUUUAAGGUGUUAGAGAAAAUAAAUGAUAAUGCAUAUAAACUUGAGCUGCCUGCAGAUUUUGGGGUUAGUCCCACUUUUAACAUUGCAGAUUUGAAGCCUUAUUUGGGUGAGGAAGAUGAACUUCCGUCGAGGACGACUUCAUUUCAAGAAGGGGAGGAUGAUGAGGACAUCAAUACAAUUGUUACACCCACAGCCCCUGCUGCUAUACAUACUGGACCAAUUACUAGAGCUCGUGCACACCAACUAAAUUACCAGGAAACAGACCCUCGUGGUCAGGUUGAUCGUGGUCCGGCGUGGUCAAUAACCUCUCGGAGUUGGUUUAGCGAUUGCUAA
This 1026-nucleotide ribosomal RNA is filed under the name Triticum aestivum (bread wheat). RNAcentral's name for it is "partial small subunit ribosomal RNA". The record is from RNAcentral. Lineage: Eukaryota; Viridiplantae; Streptophyta; Magnoliopsida; Poales; Poaceae.